This 269-nucleotide ribosomal RNA is filed under the name uncultured bacterium. RNAcentral's name for it is "partial 16S ribosomal RNA". It matches the Rfam family "Bacterial small subunit ribosomal RNA", at positions 29 to 327 of the family's 1533-position model. The record is from RNAcentral.
AGCGAACGCUGGCGGCAUGCUUAACACAUGCAAGUCGCACGGCCAGCAAUGGCAGUGGCGGACGGGUGAGUAACGCGUAGGAAUAUGUCCGGAGGUGGGGGACAACCCUGGGAAACUGGGGCUAAUACCGCAUAUGAGCUGAGGCUCAAAGCCGUGAGGCGCCUUUGGAGUAGCCUGCGUCCGAUUAGCUUGUGGUGGGUAAUGGCCUACCAAGGCUGCGAUCGGUAGCUGGUCUGAGAGGACGAUCAGCCACACUGGGACUGAGACAC